Molecule: ribosomal RNA, 549 nt
Filed under: uncultured archaeon
Lineage: Archaea
Description: bacterial SSU rRNA
Rfam family: Archaeal small subunit ribosomal RNA
Source: RNAcentral
UGUGAGAGCAAGAGCCCGGAGAUGGAUUCUGAGACACGAAUCCAGGCCCUACGGGGUGCAGCAGGCGCGAAAACUUUACAAUGCCGGCAACGGCGAUAAGGGGACCUCGAGUGCCAGGUUACAAAUCUGGCUGUCGUGAUGCCUAAAAAGCAUUGCAUAGCAAGGGCCGGGCAAGACCGGUGCCAGCCGCCGCGGUAACACCGGCGGCUCGAGUGGUAACCGUUAUUAUUGGGUCUAAAGGGUCUGUAGCCGGCCGGAUAAGUCUCUUGAGAAAUCUGGCAGCUUAACUGUCAGGCUUUCAGGAGAUACUGUCUGGCUCGAGGCCGGGAGAGGUGAGAGGUACUUCAGGGGUAGGGGUGAAAUCUUGUAAUCCUUGAAGGACCACCAGUGGCGAAGGCGUCUCACCAGAACGGACCUGACGGCAAGGGACGAAAGCUAGGGGCACGAACCGGAUUAGAUACCCGGGUAGUCCUAGCCGUAAACGAUACUCGCUAGGUGUCGGCCACGGUGCGACCGUUGUCGGUGCCGUAGGGAAGCCGUGAAGCGAGC